RNAcentral lists this ribosomal RNA (253 nucleotides) under uncultured bacterium. RNAcentral describes it as "partial 16S ribosomal RNA". It matches the Rfam family "Bacterial small subunit ribosomal RNA", at positions 524 to 776 of the family's 1533-position model. The record is from RNAcentral.
UACAGAGGUCUCGAGCGUUGUUCGGAUUCAUUGGGCGUAAAGGGUGCGUAGGUGGCUAGGUAAGUCGGAUGUGAAAUCCCGGGGCUCAACCCCGGAACUGCAUUCGAUACUGCCUGGCUAGAGUACUGGAGAGGAGAUUGGAAUUUACGGUGUAGCAGUGAAAUGCGUAGAGAUCCGGAAGAACACCGGUGGCGAAGGCGGCCUGCUGGGCAGUAGCUGACACUGAGGCGCGACAGCGUGGGGAGCAAACAGG